Long non-coding RNA from Bubalus bubalis (water buffalo), 1559 nucleotides. RefSeq lists it as uncharacterized. The transcript is spliced from 3 exons. The record is from RefSeq and is a predicted model, not a curated record. Lineage: Eukaryota; Metazoa; Chordata; Mammalia; Artiodactyla; Bovidae.
GGGAACUGUUCUGGAGCUUGGUGUGGGGUGUAGGGGUGGCUGGUUUGGUUCAUCAAAGCUAUGUGUUUAGAACAAACGGAAAAGGGGAAAUUACCUUGUUAUACAGGGAGUGUCCUCAAGAAAGAAGCAUCAGCGGGGCAGAUGGGGGCUUCUAAUAUUUGGCUUUGCAGAGUCCGGUGUGGGCAUGAAGUGAAAAGUGGAGAGGGAGAAGGAAGAUGCUAUGGAUUGAAUGUUUGUUGCCCCCAGUUCAUAUGUUGAAGCUUUAACACACACACACACACACACUCCCCCCACAGUAUGAUGAGCCUUGGAGGUAGGGCCUUUGGGAGUAAUUCGGGUAAGAUGAGGUCAUAAAGGUCGAGCCCCCAUGAUGGGAUUAAUGUCCUUAAAGAAGAAGAGACCAGAGUCCUCCCCUUCUCUCCAGCAGAUACAGCAAGGAGAAAGAUAUGCACAAACCAAGAAGAGCGCUCUCACCAGACACGGAAUCUGCUAGCACCUUGAUCUCAGACUUCCCAGCCUCCAGAAUGGAACUUGGGGAAGUUUAGUAAAUCCCCCAACAUCCCCACACCGAGGAAUACCUGGCUGAAACGCUAAUCCAGUCUGUCUGGCCUGAAGCCCACGUGUUGUCUAUGAUGCUGUUUAGAGAGAAGAGCAAGACAGAAGCCCGAUGUCAUCACGAGGCUAAGAGCGCCACUCACCCAUCUCACCAGCUUUCAGCCUGUCCCAACGUAAGUCUCCAAGAUGUCACACGGCGUAAAGACAGCUGGCUAUUCUGAUGGCAGUUUUCUAAAGACAUUCACUGACACUGUUUUAGCAAAACCCAUGAGUACCUUGAGAUGAAUACAUUAUGAAGACGACUGUCAUCAUGGCCACAUGUGGUAUUAUUUACUCACGUCAGUUUGAAGGAUUAAUGUGACAAAGUGGCUGAGCAGCUAGUAAGAUGGAAAGCCGUGUAGGACGAUUUCUAUGUGAUUUCAAACAAUGCCCGCAGUGUCUACAGCAAGUUGAAGAGACGUGAAUCGCUGGUGCCACGGCCCCCACCUUCCACUGGCUCCCAUUCUCCACUGUGUCCUUCCCCUACACUCCCCACCCCCAGAGACUCCAAAUUUUCCAACUGCAGCCAAGGAGGAGAAAGUGGAGACACUUUUCAUUUCAGCAGCCUGGGGUUGUGAGCAGUGGCAGCUCUCCGGCUGACGUCUCUGGUGACUCCUUAGAUGGCCAGGGGACAGAGAGCCUUGUGGGGCCUUGCAGGAAAGUCCGGGACUGCCGGCUGGUCUUUGCCCCCUUAAACGAGUGACUACAUAGACAAUGUUAAAAACUGAAUAAUGGUGUUGAUGUAUGGCAGAAAGCAAAGCAAUAUUGUAAAGUGAUUAUCCUUCAAUUAAAAAUAAACUUAAACAAAAACACAAAUAAUGCAUCAUUCUGCAGAGAACCGUCAUUGUAGUGGAAGAGUCUGAAAGAGAACGAGGUGCUACAACAAAGCCAGGGGUCUGUACUGUAGGCCUAUUGGUUCUAUAAGUAUCUAAAAUUCUGCUUAGCAAGCACUGGUUUGAUAUACA